RNAcentral lists this long non-coding RNA (515 nucleotides) under Olea europaea (common olive). RNAcentral's name for it is "long non-coding RNA (OEUR_LNC000433)". Lineage: Eukaryota; Viridiplantae; Streptophyta; Magnoliopsida; Lamiales; Oleaceae. The record is from RNAcentral.
GGCAGCUGAGUAGCAUUGUUAAAAUUAUCAGCCAUUUCUUCAGUUGUUGCUUGGUUUGCAGAAUUUGUAAUCAAAUCCCUUAUCCAAAAUUUAUCAGGUAUUUUCGAUAUAAAAUCUCCGGUCAAUUCUCUUUCUUUCAGAAAUUCCCGCAACACCUCAUCUCAUCUCCAGAAAAUUCUCACGCUGGCACACGAGAAAAAAUGAAAAAGGGAAACAUAUUUAAAACGAAAAAUUCAGUUAAAAAAGUUUAUAUUAGUUGGGAAUUAAGCAAAAAUCUGAAAUGGGUACUUACGAGGAGCGGAGGUUUUGAGGGAGAAGAAUGUGUAUGGGGUUCUUGCACAAAAUCGACGGAGUUUAUAAUAGGCAGAAUGCUGGACGUGUAAUUUUGAAAAAUAUCCAAUUGCUGGAAGAGAAUUCAUAAUUUCUGUAAUUCAUUUCAGCUACUGAAUUCAAUCUUGUACAGUAAGCAUCUUCUUGUUAUCCCUCAAAUUCAAAGGUCUAAAAAGAGGAUUUUG